Molecule: long non-coding RNA, 1023 nt
Organism: Lycium barbarum (goji berry)
Lineage: Eukaryota; Viridiplantae; Streptophyta; Magnoliopsida; Solanales; Solanaceae
Exons: 3
Source: RefSeq, a predicted model, not a curated record
CCGUUAUACUUUGGGCCAAAUAUACCCUUGAGUAUAACGGCGUGCCACGUGUCAAAAUCUCAGUGGCCAACUUAUUUCCCUCUUUUAUUUUUCAUCCGAAUGCCUACUCCUUCAGAUCCGACCCAAUUAAUUUAUUACCCGACCCGUAAAAUAACAUAUCAUACCCAUAGCCAAACCUAACCUGUAUAUCUAUAACGCCUCUCUCUCUCUCUCUAAAAAAAAAUACAGAUCUCUUCAACCUCCAUAGCAGAUCUAAAAAAAAAAACGCAGAUCUCUUCAAACUAAGCUUGGAAUUCUUCAUCCAAGAAUAAUUUAUACUCUUCCACUGAGGAUGGAUAUCCACUAUGGCAUGCUAUGUCGUCUCUUUCAAGACAAAGUUUGGUGCAGAUCCUACCAUACUUAGGCCCACAUAGAUGAAGCUCUGCGUGCUACGGAGCAACAGAUCAGAAGCAUGGAAAUGAAGCUGAAUUCUGCUUUUUCUGCCCACCAAAAAGAGAAGGAAGCAUGGGAAAUAAACAUUCAAAAUGUGGAAGAAACAUGGCGAUGCUGAAAACUGUGAUUUUUGAGAGUGGCAAGAUAAUUUUCUAGACAAUGCUAUAUUGGAAAUAAGUGAUUUGAAGGGUAAAUUGGAAGUGGCUACGGUGAAGAUGGACAAUUUAAGAGAGUCGUUGAAUGCGGUUAAGCUCGAAAGAGACAACUUGAAGAAAAAGGUGCAUAACUUGGAGGCUAUAAAUAACUCUCAAGUGAACAAAUCAAGGGAAUUGGAAGAGAAGAUGUUGAAGUUGAAGAUGUUUUUUAUGAUUUCAUUGUCCGUAUUAGUUGAAUUUUUUUGUUGCUAAUUUGGGAUGAAUUAUGCUUGGUCUAGUAAUAGAAGUGAAAGGCUUGUUUUGGUAGAUGACGAUGUGUAGGAGUAGAAGUGUUUGUUUAGGAGUUGAAGUCUUGGUAUGUAAGCUAGUUUGUUGUUGUUAUUGUAUGUGUAAACUUGCUAAUUUAGUGUUGCUAAUAAGAAAUCCAUUUUUUCUC